UGCUGCUCUGAGUGCAGUGGUUUCUACAAUUGAUAGAUCACAACCAGUUACAGAUUUCCUUGUUCCUUCUCCACUCCCACUGUUUCACUUGACUAGCCAAAA
Unclassified non-coding RNA from Rhinopithecus bieti (black snub-nosed monkey), 102 nucleotides. It matches the Rfam family "Y RNA". Rfam says of the family: Y RNAs are components of the Ro ribonucleoprotein particle (Ro RNP), in association with Ro60 and La proteins. The record is from Ensembl. Lineage: Eukaryota; Metazoa; Chordata; Mammalia; Primates; Cercopithecidae.